UUAAAAAUGCGGCCACUUUGCCUGUCCAACUGCUGAGUGAUAAGGGCAUGACCUAAAACUUGAUGCUCACAGAG
Molecule: small nucleolar RNA, 74 nt
Filed under: Cebus imitator (Panamanian white-faced capuchin)
Lineage: Eukaryota; Metazoa; Chordata; Mammalia; Primates; Cebidae
Description: Small nucleolar RNA SNORD5 (ENSCCAG00000008998.1)
Source: RNAcentral